This 70-nucleotide transfer RNA is filed under the name Myotis adversus (large-footed bat). Its description in RNAcentral is "tRNA-Thr". Lineage: Eukaryota; Metazoa; Chordata; Mammalia; Chiroptera; Vespertilionidae. The record is from RNAcentral.
GUCCGCGUAGUAUGUUAAUUAGAUCGGUCAUCUAAGCCAAAAAUGGAGUAAACUCUUGUCCCAUAGACUC